RNAcentral lists this long non-coding RNA (1259 nucleotides) under Homo sapiens (human). Its description in RNAcentral is "HSALNT0150892". Lineage: Eukaryota; Metazoa; Chordata; Mammalia; Primates; Hominidae. The record is from RNAcentral.
CCAUCAGCAGCUUCUUCCCCAACUUCCCUCUUUGGAAUAACUCCAUCUUAGUCACCAGCCCAGUGACCACCCUGCUUUAGUCAAAUGGCUGGUUGACUGAAUCUAAUAUGAUAAUUUGAAGGACAACACUCUGUCAAGUCAGCAGCUUACUGUUUUACACAGUUAGGUAUUCCAAUUUUCAAGGAAUGAUUUCUAACUCUGCAUCACCACUCCAGUUAAACACCAUGUACAUUCUUGUGGCCUCCACAUUAGGUCCUUGUGGUAUGUUUUCCAAACCUCCACAGACUCACAUUGAUUUAUGUCUAAGAAAGAAGCAACAUUUUUAAGAACUCAAUUAUUGUAGGGCUCUUAUAGUACUCUGCUUCAAAAGUUAGUUUUGGGCAGAGACUACUCAAAGAACAGAUGUCAAGCAACUUCAAAACAGUAAGCCUUACACUUUAUUGCCAUCUUCCUUUUAAUCUUCAGCCUCAAACUCUCAAAUACUUGAGAGGGUUCCAGUCUUUAGGAAAUAUUAAUAUACUCUCACAGUUUAUUAAAUUGAUGGCUCUGUUGUAAAGAUUAUUAUGCCAGAUCACUAGUUCUCAAAGUGUGGUCCCCAGUCCAGCAGUCUCAGGACCACCUGGGAACUCGCUUUAGAAAUGCAAAUUCUCGGGUCCCAACAUGGCCUACCGAAACAGAAACUCUGAGACUGGGGUCUAGAAAUCAGAAUUUUAACUAGUGAUGCUGAUGCAGACAAAAGUUUGACAACUUCUCCAGAAACGUGAACCUGAUUAAGAACAAAAUAUUUAACUGUUUAUUAAGUGCUAGUUUAAAAUAUGAGGCAAAAAAGCUUUGGAUAUCUGGAUAGUAAAUUCCCCGGGGCAGAAAAUGACCCUUAUAUGGCUUCAUCUUGCUCAGGGAAGCCUGAAAUUGUGGUGAUCUGAUGAUGUCACUGCCACAUGAAGAGAGGACAUCUUUGAGAAGUAAACAAUCCACGCACCCGAGCAGAGAGUUUGAAAUGUCACCACUCAACUUCCUCGCCAUGAUGACAGAGGCAGCAGUCUCUUGAGGGAAUUAAACAACAUGCUGAAAUUAAGAAUCUGAUCCCUUUCUCUGAUCUGUUGGCAAAUCUGGGAAAAGUCAAAACUAUUAGCAGAAGUGUAAUUUUAAAAAUCCCCAUAUGGGCUGAGCAUGGUGGCUCACUCCUGAAAUCCCAGCACUUUGGGAGGCCAAGGCAGGCAAAUUACCUUGGUCAGGAGUUCCAGACCAGCCUGGCCAAC